GAUCCUGGCUCAGGACGAACGCUGGCGGCGUGCCUAACACAUGCAAGUCGAACGGAAGUUGGAGCUUCGGUUUUAACUUUAGUGGCGAACGGGUGAGUAACGCGUGAGGAACCUGCCUUUCAGUGGGGGACAACAGUUGGAAACGACUGCUAAUACCGCAUGACACUUUUGGGAGACAUCUCCUGGAAGUCAAAGCUUUAUGUGCUGAAAGAUGGCCUCGCGUCUGAUUAGCUGGUUGGUGAGGUAACGG
This 250-nucleotide ribosomal RNA is filed under the name uncultured bacterium. RNAcentral describes it as "partial 16S ribosomal RNA". It matches the Rfam family "Bacterial small subunit ribosomal RNA", at positions 15 to 263 of the family's 1533-position model. The record is from RNAcentral.